GAUGAACGCUGGCGGCGUGCCUAAUACAUGCAAGUCGAGCGAACAGACGAGGAGCUUGCUCCUCUGACGUUAGCGGCGGACGGGUGAGUAACACGUGGAUAACCUACCUAUAAGACUGGGAUAACUUCGGGAAACCGGAGCUAAUACCGGAUAAUAUAUUGAACCGCAUGGUUCAAUAGUGAAAGACGGUUUUGCUGUCACUUAUAGAUGGAUCCGCGCCGCAUUAGCUAGUUGGUAAGGUAACGGCUUACCAAGGCAACGAUGCGUAGCCGACCUGAGAGGGUGAUCAGCCACACUGGAACUGAGACACGGUCCAGACUCCUACGGGAGGCAGCAGUAGGGAAUCUUCGGCAAUGGGCGAAAGCCUGACGGAGCAACGCCGCGUGAGUGAUGAAGGUCUUCGGAUCGUAAAACUCUGUUAUUAGGGAAGAACAAAUGUGUAAGUAACUAUGCACGUCUUGACGGUACCUAAUCAGAAAGCCACGGCUAACUACGUG
This 497-nucleotide ribosomal RNA is filed under the name uncultured bacterium. Its description in RNAcentral is "partial 16S ribosomal RNA". It matches the Rfam family "Bacterial small subunit ribosomal RNA", at positions 28 to 507 of the family's 1533-position model. The record is from RNAcentral.